Molecule: small nucleolar RNA, 144 nt
Filed under: Microcebus murinus (gray mouse lemur)
Lineage: Eukaryota; Metazoa; Chordata; Mammalia; Primates; Cheirogaleidae
Description: Small nucleolar RNA SNORA67 (ENSMICG00000020278.3)
Rfam family: Small nucleolar RNA SNORA67
About the family: U67 belongs to the H/ACA class of snoRNAs which are thought to guide the sites of modification of uridines to pseudouridines.
Source: Rfam by way of RNAcentral
AUCCAAGGUGAUUCCCUCUCCGAGGGGCCAGCUAGUGCCCGCCUCAGGAAAGUAGCAACUUGGAAUAAAAUCAGGCAUGCCUAAGGUCUCUUUGGGGGACAGAGGAUGCUUGUUUCCUUUGCCUUCCCUUGGCUGCCUACAUGU